CCUACGGGUGGCAGCAGUGAGGAAUAUUGGUCAAUGGACGAGAGUCUGAACCAGCCAAGUAGCGUGAAGGAUGACUGCCCUAUGGGUUGUAAACUUCUUUUAUAUGGGAAUAAAACGUUCCACGUGUGGGAUUUUGUAUGUACCAUAUGAAUAAGGAUCGGCUAACCCCGUGCCAGCAGCCGCGGUAAUACGGAGGAUCCGAGCGUUAUCCGGAUUUAUUGGGUUUAAAGGGAGCGUAGGUGGAUUGUUAAGUCAGUUGUGAAAGUUUGCGGCUCAACCGUAAAAUUGCAGUUGAAACUGGCAGUCUUGAGUACAGUAGAGGUGGGCGGAAGUCGUGGUGUAGCGGUGAAAUGCUUAGAGAUCACGAAGAACUCCGAUUGCGAAGGCAGUUCACUGGACUGCAACUGACACUGAGGCGCGAAAGUGUGGGUAUCAAACAGGAUUAGAUACCCGAGUAGUC
This 460-nucleotide ribosomal RNA is filed under the name uncultured bacterium. RNAcentral's name for it is "partial 16S ribosomal RNA". It matches the Rfam family "Bacterial small subunit ribosomal RNA", at positions 338 to 795 of the family's 1533-position model. The record is from RNAcentral.